This 253-nucleotide ribosomal RNA is filed under the name uncultured bacterium. RNAcentral's name for it is "partial 16S ribosomal RNA". It matches the Rfam family "Bacterial small subunit ribosomal RNA", at positions 524 to 776 of the family's 1533-position model. The record is from RNAcentral.
UACGUAGGGUGCGAGCGUUAAUCGGAAUUACUGGGCGUAAAGCGUGCGCAGGCGGCUUUGCAAGACAGAUGUGAAAUCCCCGGGCUUAACCUGGGAACUGCAUUUGUGACUGCAAGGCUGGAGUGCGGCAGAGGGGGAUGGAAUUCCGCGUGUAGCAGUGAAAUGCGUAGAUAUUACAAGGAACACCAAUGGCGAAGGCAGCUUGCUGGGCUUCUUCUGACACUGAGGUACGAAAGCGUGGGGAGCGAACAGG